RNAcentral lists this ribosomal RNA (71 nucleotides) under uncultured bacterium. RNAcentral describes it as "partial 16S ribosomal RNA". The record is from RNAcentral.
GGUAUGGCAAGUCUGAUGUGAAAGGCCAGGGCUCAACCCUGGGACUGCAUUGGAAACUGUCGAACUAGAGU